CAUCAAGACCGACAGGUAUUAGCCAUCGGCUUUUUCUCCCAAUUGAAAGUGCUUUACAACCCUAGAGCCUUCUUCACACACGCGGCAUGGCUGCGUCAGGGUUGCCCCCAUUGCGCAAUAUUCC
RNAcentral lists this ribosomal RNA (124 nucleotides) under uncultured bacterium. Its description in RNAcentral is "partial 16S ribosomal RNA". The record is from RNAcentral.